RNAcentral lists this ribosomal RNA (206 nucleotides) under uncultured bacterium. Its description in RNAcentral is "partial 16S ribosomal RNA". It matches the Rfam family "Bacterial small subunit ribosomal RNA", at positions 568 to 774 of the family's 1533-position model. The record is from RNAcentral.
UGCGUAGGCGGCGCGGUAAGUCGGGUGUGAAAUCUCGGAGCUUAACUCCGAAACUGCAUUCGAUACUGCCGUGCUUGAGGACUGGAGAGGAGACUGGAAUUUACGGUGUAGCGGUGAAAUGCGUAGAUAUCGUAAGGAAGACCAGUGGCGAAGGCGGGUCUCUGGACAGUUCCUGACGCGAGGCACGAAGGUCAGGGGAGCAAACG